CCUACGGGAGGCAGCAGUGGGGAAUAUUGCACAAUGGGCGCAAGCCUGAUGCAGCGACGCCGCGUGCGGGAUGGAGGCCUUCGGGUUGUAAACCGCUUUUGUUAAAGGGCAAGGCACGGUCUUUGGCCGUGUUGUGUGGAUUGUUCGAAUACGCGCCGGCUAACUACGUGCCAGCAGCCGCGGUAAUACGUAGGGUGCAAGCGUUAUCCGGAUUUCUUGGGCGUAAGGGGCUCGUAGGCGGUUCGGCGCGUCCGGUGUGAAAGUCCAUCGCUUAACGGUGGAUCCGCUCCGGGUACGGGCGGGCUUGAGUGCGGGAGGGGAGACUGGAAUUCCCGGUGUAACGGUGGAAUGUGUAGAUAUCGGGAAGAACACCAAUGGCGAAGGCAGGUCUCUGGGCCGUUACUGACGCUGAGGAGCGAAAGCGUGGGGAGCGAACAGGAUUAGAUACCCGGGUAGUC
RNAcentral lists this ribosomal RNA (458 nucleotides) under uncultured bacterium. RNAcentral's name for it is "partial 16S ribosomal RNA". It matches the Rfam family "Bacterial small subunit ribosomal RNA", at positions 338 to 795 of the family's 1533-position model. The record is from RNAcentral.